Molecule: RNA transcript, 2556 nt
Organism: Cercocebus atys (sooty mangabey)
Lineage: Eukaryota; Metazoa; Chordata; Mammalia; Primates; Cercopithecidae
Gene name: probable ATP-dependent RNA helicase DDX23 pseudogene
Exons: 2
Source: RefSeq, a predicted model, not a curated record
AUGCAGGCCAAAAUCUCAGCCAGCAGGCUAAAGAAUGAAAAGGUGUCUGUCCUCCAAUCCUACUGCAGAGGUGCAUGGGUCUAUUUGUCCAGGGUGAUAGCAGGAGAGCUGGCUGACAAAAAGGACCAUGAUGCAUCACCUUCCAAAGAGGAAAGGAAGCGAUCACGGACUCCUGACGGAGAGUGGGAUAGAGACCGGGACCGGAAGUCUUCCCCAUCUAAAGAUAGGAAACAGCAUCGUUCAAGGGAUAGACAUCAAGGAGGCAGCUAUUCUCACUCUCAUUCCCGUUCCAAAUCUGCAGAAAGAGAACGAUGGCACAAAGAAUGAGAACGAGAUAAGGAGCGAGAAUAUAAUAAGAAGGACCAAGAUCGAGACAAGGAUGGGCACAGAUGGGACAAGGACCAGAAAUGAUUCAGUUUAUCUCCUGGCCGAGGAAAAGACUUUAAAUUUCGGAAGGACAGAGACUCUAAGAAGGAUGAAGAGGAUGAACAUGGUGAUAAGAAGCCUAAGGCCCAGCCAUUAUCCCUGGAGGAACUUCUGGCCAAGAAAAAGGCUGAAGAAGAAGCUGAGGCUAAGCCCACGUUCCUCUCCAAAGCAGAACGAGAGGCUGAAGCUCUAAAGUGACGGCAGCAGGCAGUGGAAGAGCAGCAGAGGAUGUUUGAAGAAGAGAGAAAGAAAAGAAAACAAUUCCAAGACUUGGGCAGGAAGAUGUUGGAAGAUCCUCAGGAAUGGGAAUGUCAGGAAUGCAGGGGGAAGAUGGAGCGAGAGACCAGUGGAAAUGAGGAUGAGCAAGGGCGGCAGAAGAUCUGGGAAGAGAAGGAUAAGAGCAAGGGACUGCAUGCCAUUAAAGAGCAUUACUUGGGGUGGCAUCAAAAAGCAGCACCGAACGAGACAUUUCAAUGACCGAAAGUUUGUUUUUGAAUGGGAUGCAUCUGAGGACAUAUCCAUUGACUACAACCCCCUGUACAAAGAACGGCGCCGGGUGCAGUUGUUAGGGCGAGGCUUCAUUGCAGACACUGACCUCAAGCAGCAGAAAUGAGAGCAGUCACAUUUCUAUGGAGACCUAAUGGAGAAGAGGCGAACCCUGGAAGAAAAGGAGCAGGAGGAGGCAAGACUCUGCAAACUUCGUAAGAAGGAAGCCAAGCAGCUCUGGGAUGAUCGUCAUUGGUCUCAGAAAAAGUUAGAUGAGAUGACGGACAGGGACUGGCGGAUCUUCUGUGAGGACUACAGCAUAACCACCAAAGGUGGCAAGAUCCCCAAUCCCAUCCCAUCCUGGAAAGACUCUUCUCUGCCCCCACACAUCUUGGAGGUCUUUGAUAAGUGUGGCUACAAGGAACCAACACCUAUCCAGCGUCAGGCAAUUCCCACUGGGCUACAGAAUCGUGACAUCAUUGGUGUGGCUGAGACUGGCAGUGGCAAACAGCAGCCUUCCCCAUCCCACUGCUGGUCUGGAUCACCACACUUCUCAAAAAUGACAGGAUCGAAGAGUCAGACCAAGGCCCUUAUGCCAUCAUCCUGGCUCCCACCCGUGAGUUGGCUCAACAGAUUGAGGAAGAGACUGUCAAAUUUGGAAAGCCCCUAGAUAUCCGCACUGUGGCUGUCACUGGUGGUAUCUUCAGAGAAGACCAGGGCUUCAGGCUGCGCAUGGGUUGUGAGAUUGUGAUCGCUACCCCUGGGCAUUUGAUUGAUGUUCUGGAGAACUGCUCCCUGGUGCUGAGCCGCUGUACCUAUGUGAUUCUGGAUGAGGCAGAUAGGAUGAUUGACAUGGGCUUUGAGCCAGAUGUCCAGAAGAUCCUGGAGCACAUGCCUGUCAGCAACCAGAAGCCAGACACAGAUGAGGCUGACAACCCUGAGAAGAUGCUGGCCAACUUUGAGUCGGGAAAACGUAAGUACCACCAAACAGUCGUGUUCACAGCUACCGUGCUCCCAGCGGUGGAGCGUCUGGACAGGAGCUAUCUUCGGCGACUUGCUGUGGUGUACAUUGGCUCCUCAGGCAAGCCCCAUGAGUGUGUGGAACAGAAGGUCUUCCUCAUGUCAGAGUCAGAAAAGAAGAAAAAGCUGCUGGCAAUCUUGGAGCAAGGCUUUGAUCCACCCAUCAUUAUUUUCGUCAGCCAGAAGGACUGCGACGCGUUGGCCAAAUCCCUGGAGAAGAUGGGGUACAAUGCUUGCACACUGCACAGUGGAAAAGGCCAGGAGCAGCUAGAGUUUGCAUUGUCCAACCUCAAGGCUGGGUCCAAGGAUAUUUUGGUGGCUACAGAUGUGGCUGGUCAUGGUAUUGACAUCCAAGAUGUGUCUAUAAUUGUCAACUAUGAUAUGGCCAAAAAUAUUGAAGAUUACAUCCACCUCAUUGGCUGCACAGGACAAGCAGGCAAGAGUGGGGUGGCCAUCACCUUCCUCACAAAAGAGGACUCUGCUGUGUUCUACGAGCUGAAGCAAGCCAUCCUGGAAAGCCCAGUGUCUUCCUGUCUCCCCAAGCUAGCCAGUCACCCAGAUGCCCAGCAUAAGCCAGGCACCAUCCUCACCAAGAAGCACCAGGAAGAGACCAUCUUUGCCUGA